GAGUUUGAUCGUGGCUCAGAUUGAACGCUGGCGGCAGGCCUAACACAUGCAAGUCGGGCGGUAGAGAGAAGCUUGCUUCUCUUGAGAGCGGCGGACGGGUGAGUAAUGCCUAGGAAUCUGCCUGGUAGUGGGGGAUAACGCUCGGAAACGGACGCUAAUACCGCAUACGUCCUACGGGAGAAAGCAGGGGACCUUCGGGCCUUGCGCUAUCAGAUGAGCCUAGGUCGGAUUAGCUAGUUGGUGAGGUAAUGGCUCACCAAGGCGACGAUCCGUAACUGGUCUGAGAGGAUGAUCAGUCACACUGGAACUGAGACACGGUCCAGACUCCUACGGGAGGCAGCAGUGGGGAAUAUUGGACAAUGGGCGAAAGCCUGAUCCAGCCAUGCCGCGUGUGUGAAGAAGGUCUUCGGAUUGUAAAGCACUUUAAGUUGGGAGGAAGGGCAGUAAAUUAAUACUUUGCUGUUUUGACGUUACCGACAGAAUAAGCACCGGCUAACUCUGUGCCAGCCG
This 510-nucleotide ribosomal RNA is filed under the name uncultured bacterium. RNAcentral's name for it is "bacterial SSU rRNA". It matches the Rfam family "Bacterial small subunit ribosomal RNA", at positions 9 to 514 of the family's 1533-position model. The record is from RNAcentral.